UACGAAGGGGGCUAGCGUUGCUCGGAAUCACUGGGCGUAAAGCGCACGUAGGCGGAUUGUUAAGUCGGGGGUGAAAUCCUGGAGCUCAACUCCAGAAUUGCCUUCGAUACUGGCUUUCUAGAGGCUGGAAGAGGUUAGUGGAAUUCCCAGUGUAGAGGUGAAAUUCGUAGAUAUUGGGAAGAACACCAGUGGCGAAGGCGGCUAACUGGUCCAGAUCUGACGCUGAGGUGCGAAAGCUAGGGUAGCAAACGGG
RNAcentral lists this ribosomal RNA (253 nucleotides) under uncultured bacterium. RNAcentral's name for it is "partial 16S ribosomal RNA". It matches the Rfam family "Bacterial small subunit ribosomal RNA", at positions 524 to 776 of the family's 1533-position model. The record is from RNAcentral.